CGUCUGCCAGGACAGCUCUGCGCGUGCGCAAUGCGUCCCCAUUCGGAGCUUCAUGCGCAUGUGCGCGGGGCUAGGGCUGUAGUACGCAUGUGCCUGCCUUUUCGGUGGUUUUGUGUCCGCUCUCGGGGUGAGGGGAGUGGUAGCGUUGUUAGGUUUUAAAUAUGAAAUGAUCCUAUUGGAAGCUCAAAAUGAUCGUAUUUGCUAAAAAUGUUGUAUGCUGAAACAAAAACCGAUGGACAUGAGUAUGUAAAUGUGCCUUCUUCUUUACUUUCUAUUACUCACUGGCUCUAGAGUGAGUGAGUGAGAAGUGGGCCAUCAGUUGAAGCGUUUCUUUAUUUGAAGACAAGCUGUUGUGAAAAAGUGCUGACAGCAAACCGAGAAGUGGGUUAAGACUCCCUCAGAGUUGGGUUUGCAUAUGCUGUGUCAAUUAGCUGCCUCAAAAGUUAUUGUAUGUUUUGAACGCUUUUACUGUUAUCUAUUGUGCAGGGGUUGAAACAAUUGCACAAAUAUGAAGAUUAUCAUAGACCUGGCAGCGCUGGCACUGAUGCAGCUUGACACCUCAGCCUGCAUGGGAGCCCUUAGGAAUAAGCCUCCUGGGCUGCUAUUCAGUGCUUUUGUUUUUUCUAUAAGGUGUGAAUCUACCCUGCCUUGUACCUGACUUCAUCCCAACAUGGGUAACUUAAGUUUCUGGGAGCUGGCCUGAAGAACGCCACCAUGACAGCCAGCUGCAUUUUGGCUGGUCGGGCUGCCAAACGGAAAGCCCCCCGCCCCCCCAGGUGUUAUGCGGGAUGUUAAGUUACUCAAUUAUCACCUGAUUUUUUCAGUACAGCUCGUGGUGCAGUAGCUCAGCAGUUAUUGCAGCUGCCUGGGCUAUCUGCAAAGCAACCCUGCGAUCUCAAUGGGAUGCCCAAGCUGUGUCCAAGUGAUCUCAUGCAGUGUGACUGUUCUGCUCAGCCUUAUGAAGGAGCUCUGUAGCAAAGGCAGGGUUUGAGAUACACUGGACACCAUUUUCAAAAGUCUUGAAAACCCUCACUUCAAGCAGAAGUCAAUGGGAUUUGCAAAUCAUUAGCAACUCAGUAUCUCUGAAAAUCAGUUCCAAGGUGUCUCAGUUGGUGUGUCCAAAAUUUGAUGCCACUUAUGAAAAUGUUGGACUUGGCAAAUACAGCUAUCAGGCAAGUGACCGAAAGAAGCCUCUUAGCUUUUUCUACCUCCUGUUGAAUUCCUCAAAUAAGAAAAAGCUGACAGAAAAAUAGUGGCUUGCCCAGAAAUAGGUAUUAAGUGUGUGUAUUCACUAGAAAAGGAAAGGCUUUCAGCAGAAAAGUAAGCUAUAACUUGCUCUUUUAAAAUUAUUCCCCCUCCCCGCCCAUUGCAAUCCUUUGACACUUGCUGGAUUGGUAAAGACAGUCCACAACAUACAUUUCUGUGGUAUAACUGAUAGCCCAAGUCCCAUGCAAUGUUUGUGGGACAUAUCACAACCUUUGGAAUUGUAUUAUAUAUACCUUUUUAUCUCUCACCUAUAUAAAGAAUUACAGAUUUUUACAAGCACUGGCCCUAUUUGAGGAUGUCACUUCAGCACAAUUAGUGUUGCUUAAUGUUAAGUGUUUGCUGACCUGAUAUUCUAAAUCAGAAAUUUAGAGGUGAUCCUCACCUGGUGGUUACUACUAUUUGUAGUUCUCUUGGUGAUACUAGUGCUAGUCAUAGUAUGGUGCACAGUAGUUAUAAGGUCAAUUCAUCUGUAUCAUUAAAGUAUAGGGUUUGAGCUCAUACUCAGGGACUGAACCUGCUUGGUGUUGAGUGCUUUCUGUUGUCUUUAUGCAUGGGUGUCCACUUAAGUUCUGAAUGUAUGUAGAUAACAUUGGGCACAUUGCAGGACUGAGCCAUACUGGUCUAUGCCUGCUUCUAAUAAAAGUGAUGGCAAAACUUCUGUUAGCUUCUACUGGGUUACGAAGAAACAUUUAGGCUAGGAUUUGUAAUGAAGCCAAAAACCUUAGGCAUCCAACUCCAAAUGACAUAUGUUAGGAUUCAAACACCUAAACCUUUUGGCUAUGUAUAAACAGUCAAAAAGCCCAAGGCUGAAUCAAUUCAAUCUUUGCAGGUUAGUGUAAACCACAGGUUGUGGGGGAGGUGCAAAGCAUCCUGGGAUGCUGCAGGACUAUAAGUUAACUUGAAUCUGGAGGGGAUCUGGGAGGGAAGUUCAAUAAACUGAUUUAACCUAAAUGAUUUAAGUCUAAUCCAUCCAGGUUUAUCUUAAACUGUAUUCAGCCAUUUUGAAAGUGGUUUAUGUACACCGAACUUGUGUUGUGUUACAGAUUUGAACCAGUUUCUGAUCAGUUAUACCAGUUUGUGUAACUUCUGUCCCUAGUCCUUGUGUUCUUUUGAAAAGCACAGCAUUAGGGAUUUUUAUUAUCCUAAAAAGGAACCCUAGCAGCUGUUCUGCAGCAUAAUUUAUUUCAAGAUAUCCAGAUUUUCUGUUCUGUCUGUAGAAUAGUGAUAACUGUUUGAAAAUCAAACAAAUAAAAGUAACUUGAGAAAUAA
Alligator mississippiensis (American alligator) is the source of this 2535-nucleotide long non-coding RNA. RefSeq lists it as uncharacterized. The record is from RefSeq and is a predicted model, not a curated record. The transcript is spliced from 2 exons. NCBI's taxonomy places the organism in Eukaryota, Metazoa, Chordata, Crocodylia, Alligatoridae.